AGAGUUUGAUCCUGGCUCAGGACGAACGCUGGCGGCGUGCUUAACACAUGCAAGUCGAACGAUGAACUCCAGCUUGCUGGGGGGAUUAGUGGCGAACGGGUGAGUAACACGUGAGUAACCUGCCCUGGACUCUGGGAUAACCCCGAGAAAUCGGAGCUAAUACCGGAUAGGACCUUUCCUCGCAUGAGGGUUGGUGGAAAGUUUUUCGGUUUGGGAUGGACUCGCGGCCUAUCAGCUUGUUGGUGAGGUAAUGGCUCACCAAGGCGUCGACGGGUAGCCGGCCUGAGAGGGUGACCGGCCACACUGGGACUGAGACACGGCCCAGACUCCUACGGGAGGCAGCAGUGGGGAAUAUUGCACAAUGGGCGCAAGCCUGAUGCAGCAACGCCGCGUGCGGGAUGACGGCCUUCGGGUUGUAAACCGCUUUUAGUAGGGAAGAAGCCUUCGGGUGACGGUACCUGCAGAAAAAGGACCGGCUAACUACGUGCCAGCAGCCGCGGUAAUACGUAGGGUCCGAGCGUUGUCCGGAAUUAUUGGGCGUAAGGAGCUCGUAGGCGGUUUGUCGCGUCUGCUGUGAAAUCCCGAGGCUCAACCUCGGGCCUGCAGUGGGUACGGGCAGACUUGAGUGGUGUAGGGGAGACUGGAAUUCCUGGUGUAGCGGUGGAAUGCGCAGAUAUCAGGAGGAACACCGAUGGCGAAGGCAGGUCUCUGGGCACUUACUGACGCUGAGGAGCGAAAGCGUGGGGAGCGAACAGGAUUAGAUACCCUGGUAGUCCACGCCGUAAACGUUGGGCGCUAGAUGUGGGGACCUUUCCACGGUUUCCGUGUCGUAGCCAACGCAUUAAGCGCCCCGCCUGGGGAGUACGGCCGCAAGGCUAAAACUCAAAGGAAUUGACGG
This 898-nucleotide ribosomal RNA is filed under the name uncultured bacterium. RNAcentral describes it as "bacterial SSU rRNA". It matches the Rfam family "Bacterial small subunit ribosomal RNA", at positions 8 to 916 of the family's 1533-position model. The record is from RNAcentral.